This 253-nucleotide ribosomal RNA is filed under the name uncultured bacterium. RNAcentral's name for it is "partial 16S ribosomal RNA". It matches the Rfam family "Bacterial small subunit ribosomal RNA", at positions 524 to 776 of the family's 1533-position model. The record is from RNAcentral.
UACGGAGGAGGCAAGCGUUAUCCGGAUUUACUGGGCGUAAAGAGCGCGCAGGCGGUCGUUCAAGUCGCGUGUGAAAGCCCCCGGCUCAACUGGGGAGGGUCACGCGAUACUGAUCGACUCGAAGGCAGGAGAGGGUAGUGGAAUUCCCGGUGUAGUGGUGAAAUGCGUAGAUAUCGGGAGGAACACCAGUGGCGAAGGCGACUACCUGGCCUGUUCUUGACGCUGAGGCGCGAAAGCUAGGGGAGCAAACGGG